RNAcentral lists this unclassified non-coding RNA (224 nucleotides) under plant metagenome. RNAcentral's name for it is "partial contains small subunit ribosomal RNA, internal transcribed spacer 1, and 5.8S ribosomal RNA". The record is from RNAcentral.
UCUCCGUUGGUGAACCAGCGGAGGGAUCAUUACAGACUCGCAAGACUCCUACCACCCUGUGAACUUAACUACCAGCACGUUGCUUCGGCGGGUGUCUCGGAGGGGGUUCUCCCUCCCCGAGACGCUAAACCCGCCGGAAGCCUACUAUACUCUGUCUCUUUGCGUUGGCAUCUCGAGUACAAUCAAACAAGUUAAAACUUUCAACAACGGAUCUCUUGGUUCUG